AGGUGUCUUCUGAGAAGUCAUUUUGAUACAGUAUGAAUUCAAUAAGACAAGUCUUCCAUUGAGCAUGCUUGGGCAAGUACAGCUGGAAUAGAAAAGAUAGACAGUGGAUUCUUUGGCUUCAUCCAAGUGGGCUGAGGAUUGAAGUAUUUUUCCAGUCAUGUUCUUGAACACCUACUUUCAUGGCAUGCUGACAUUUCCAGACUACUGAAGAUGUGAUGAUUAACUGAUCCUGCAUUUGAUGAAAAAAAAAGUUUGCACAUUCCAAAGGAGAUAGGUUUCAAAUGACUAUAUAGGGUACAAUUUCCACUGAAGUGAUUUCUCUUAAUCUUAAUCCUUAACCACUCUCAUUGCUACAGUACCUUCCAAAAGUAAGCAUAGUUCAUAAAGUCUUCAGACUGCCUUUUAGCACAUUAACAUACUCUUCACAAUCCCACAAUAAAAGCACCUUAAGUGCAGGGAUAUUUUUCUUUAUUUUCUUUCUUUCCUUCCCUCUCUCUUUCCUUCAUUUCUUCUUUCUUUCUUUCCUUCCUCCCUCCCUUCUCCCCACCUCCCUCUCUCUCUCUUUCUUUUCUUUCUUAUCCUCGGUGCCUAAGAAUUUGUUCUAUAGAAGUCUAUUUGAAUGAAUGCAUGGAGAUACCUAAAGUAAGUGAUUCUGAGGUACAGUGAUACUUGAUCACCUAUAUGUAAAAUUACUAUCAUAAGGAAAGUGAGGCUGGGCAUGGUGGCUCAUGCCUGUAAUCCCAGCACUUUGGGAGGCUGAGGCGGGUGGAUCACCUGAGGUCAGGUGUUUGAGACCAGCCUGGUCAACAUGGUGAAACCCCGUCUCUACUAAAAAUACAAAAAUUAGCCGGGCGUGGUGGCACGCGCCUAUAGUCCCAGCUACUCGGGAGGCUGAGGCAGGAGAAUCACUUGAACCCGGGAGAUGGAGGUUGCAGUGAGCCAAGACUGUGCCACUGCACUCCAGCCUGGGUGACAGAGUAAGAC
RNAcentral lists this long non-coding RNA (984 nucleotides) under Homo sapiens (human). Its description in RNAcentral is "HSALNT0090991". The stretch from base 712 to 828 matches the Rfam family "Metazoan signal recognition particle RNA". The record is from RNAcentral. Lineage: Eukaryota; Metazoa; Chordata; Mammalia; Primates; Hominidae.